This 71-nucleotide transfer RNA is filed under the name Candidatus Aenigmatarchaeota archaeon. Its description in RNAcentral is "tRNA-Val". It matches the Rfam family "tRNA". Rfam says of the family: Transfer RNA (tRNA) molecules are approximately 80 nucleotides in length. Their secondary structure includes four short double-helical elements and three loops (D, anti-codon, and T loops). Lineage: Archaea; Nanobdellati; Candidatus Aenigmatarchaeota. The record is from RNAcentral.
GGGUUUGUAGUCUACUGGCAGGACGCCACCCUCACACGGUGGAGAAUUGGGUUCGAUUCCCAACAGACCCA